GCACAAGCAGUGGAGUAUGUGGUUUAAUUCGACGCAACGCGAAGAACCUUACCAAGUCUUGACAUCCCUUGACAGACAUAGAAAUAUGUAAUCUCUUCGGAGUAAGGAGACAGGUGGUGCAUGGUUGUCGUCAGCUCGUGUCGUGAGAUGUUGGGUUAAGUCCCGCAACGAGCGCAACCCUUAUGGUCAGUUACUACGCAAGAGGACUCUGGCCAGACUGCCGUUGACAAAA
Molecule: ribosomal RNA, 232 nt
Filed under: uncultured bacterium
Lineage: Bacteria
Description: partial 16S ribosomal RNA
Rfam family: Bacterial small subunit ribosomal RNA
Source: RNAcentral